Molecule: long non-coding RNA, 793 nt
Organism: Neofelis nebulosa (Clouded leopard)
Lineage: Eukaryota; Metazoa; Chordata; Mammalia; Carnivora; Felidae
Exons: 2
Source: RefSeq, a predicted model, not a curated record
ACUUGGCAUCUCCUGAGUCGCCAGAGAGAAGCUGCCUUGUACUGAGUGCUGAGGAGGGGGCGCUGGGUGGCAUCCCUGGGCAAGCUGGUUGCUAAGCAGCACAGGCCCUUGCAUUUCCUGGGUUGUUCCCGUGUUUCAUUCCUCCACUGCCUGGACAGUAUUUGAACGAGACGUAUUUUACAAAAGGACUAGUGGAUUGCGGGGUCCCACGACAUCACCUCAUAGAUGCAGUCGAUGGUUUGUUCUGGGUUCAGACUUGUUUCCGGUAAGAAACCCUGACAGAAAUUCAUUAGAACUGGAGCUGCAUUCCAUUAAGACUUGAAUACACGAAAUGUUCAUCUCAGGACCUUCUAGAAGAAUGAGCUGGGACUCACUUUCCGAGUCCUGCUGGAACCAGAGACCAAGAAAAUAAAAAGGCCCUGAAAGACAAGUGUAAUGCAUUGAGGUCUGUGAAAGCCACAAAGGAAGCAAAAGUCAAACAGCUGAAGGAGAAAGCACAUAACCUGGAAGAAUUCUAUGAACAAAGAAAAGUGCCUACUAAAAGUAAGAUGGGGGCGCCUGGGUGGCUCAGUCAGUUGAACGUCCAACUUCGGCUCAGGUCAUGAUCUCACGGUCCAAUAACUGCUAGAACUGAUAAAUGAAUUCAGCAAUGUCACAGGAUACAAAAUCGUUGUACAGAAAUCUGUUGCAUUUCUAAACAAUGAAGCAGUAGAAAGAGAAAUUAAGAAAACAGUCCCAUUUAGAGUUGUACACCAAAUAAUAAGGUAUCUAUCAAUAAAUCUAACCGAAGUGG